ACACAUGCAAGUCGAGCGGAAACGAGUUAUCUGAACCUUCGGGGAACGAUAACGGCGUCGAGCGGCGGACGGGUGAGUAAUGCCUAGGAAAUUGCCUUGAUGUGGGGGAUAACCAUUGGAAACGAUGGCUAAUACCGCAUAAUGCCUACGGGCCAAAGAGGGGGACCUUCGGGCCUCUCGCGUCAAGAUAUGCCUAGGUGGGAUUAGCUAGUUGGUGAGGUAAUGGCUCACCAAGGCGACGAUCCCUAGCUGGUCUGAGAGGAUGAUCAGCCACACUGGAACUGAGACACGGUCCAGACUCCUACGGGAGGCAGCAGUGGGGAAUAUUGCACAAUGGGCGCAAGCCUGAUGCAGCCAUGCCGCGUGUAUGAAGAAGGCCUUCGGGUUGUAAAGUACUUUCGNCGGGGAGGAAGGGGGUGUCGUUAAUAGCGGCAUUUCUUGACGUUAGCUGAAGAAGAAGCACGGGCUAACUGCGUGCCAGCAGCCGCGAAUAAUACGGAGGGUGAGAGCGUAAAUCGGAAUUACUGGGCGUGAAGGGCAUUCAGGGGGUUAAUAGGGGNAAAUGAGAAAGCNAGCUCCUAGAAGGCGGAACGGGUUAGGAAUUUGUAGGA
This 611-nucleotide ribosomal RNA is filed under the name Vibrionaceae bacterium Dec07-TCBS-7BB-c-1. RNAcentral describes it as "bacterial SSU rRNA". It matches the Rfam family "Bacterial small subunit ribosomal RNA", at positions 51 to 641 of the family's 1533-position model. Lineage: Bacteria; Pseudomonadati; Pseudomonadota; Gammaproteobacteria; Vibrionales; Vibrionaceae. The record is from RNAcentral.